This 140-nucleotide transfer RNA is filed under the name Rattus norvegicus (Norway rat). It matches the Rfam family "tRNA". Rfam says of the family: Transfer RNA (tRNA) molecules are approximately 80 nucleotides in length. Lineage: Eukaryota; Metazoa; Chordata; Mammalia; Rodentia; Muridae. The record is from Rfam by way of RNAcentral.
GGGGAUUUAGCUCAGUGGUAGAGCGCUUGCCUAGCAAGCGCAAGGCCCUGGGUCCGGUCCCCAGCUCCAAAAAAAAGAAGAAAAAAAUAGAGCACUGACUGCUCUUCCAGAGGUCCUGAGUUCAAUUCCCAGAAACCACA